This 461-nucleotide small RNA is filed under the name Pongo abelii (Sumatran orangutan). RNAcentral's name for it is "processed transcript". Lineage: Eukaryota; Metazoa; Chordata; Mammalia; Primates; Hominidae. The record is from RNAcentral.
UUUGGUUGCAUAAUCUUACUCUGAUUUCCCCUAGACUUUAGUGAAUCUGAAACUCUCCGAAUCUAAGGACUAACCAAAGUUAUGAUAAUUUAGAAAUUGCAAUUGUUGACUCAAUGGAAGGGCAAGCUUUGAAUGGGAUUUUUUUUGUUCUUAAUGUGCUGUCAGCAGAUGUUUACUUAAAGAGAUUUUUUAAUCUCCUCUAGGAAGAUAAAAAGAUCAGAUGGGCAUCUAGAUGGGACUAUAUUCUGGAGUCUAUGCCUCAUACCCACAUUCAGUGGUUUAGCAUUAUGAAUUCCCUGGUCAUUGUCCUCUUCUUAUCUGGAAUGGUAGCUAUGAUUAUGUUACGGACACUGCACAAAGAUAUUGCCAGAUAUAAUCAGAUGGACUCUACGGUAAGUGGAAACAUUUUAGUCUUUAGUCUGCCAAGGACACUGUUUAUUGUUAUUUUGUGAAAAGGUAAA